CCUACGGGUGGCAGCAGUGGGGAAUAUUGGACAAUGGGCGAAAGCCUGAUCCAGCCAUGCCGCGUGUGUGAAGAAGGCCUUCGGGUUGUAAAGCACUUUCAGUGGGGAAGAAAGCCUUGGGGCUAAUACCCUCGAGGAAGGACAUCACCCACAGAAGAAGCACCGGCUAACUCCGUGCCAGCAGCCGCGGUAAUACGGAGGGUGCGAGCGUUAAUCGGAAUUACUGGGCGUAAAGCGCGCGUAGGCGGUCUGAUAAGCCGGUUGUGAAAGCCCCGGGCUCAACCUGGGAACGGCAUCCGGAACUGUCAGGCUAGAGUGCAGGAGAGGAAGGUAGAAUUCCCGGUGUAGCGGUGAAAUGCGUAGAGAUCGGGAGGAAUUCCAGUGGCGAAGGCGGCCUUCUGGACUGACACUGACGCUGAGGUGCGAAAGCGUGGGUAGCAAACAGGAUUAGAUACCCCUGUAGUC
This 465-nucleotide ribosomal RNA is filed under the name Vreelandella stevensii. RNAcentral describes it as "partial 16S ribosomal RNA". It matches the Rfam family "Bacterial small subunit ribosomal RNA", at positions 338 to 795 of the family's 1533-position model. Lineage: Bacteria; Pseudomonadati; Pseudomonadota; Gammaproteobacteria; Oceanospirillales; Halomonadaceae. The record is from RNAcentral.